RNAcentral lists this ribosomal RNA (468 nucleotides) under uncultured bacterium. Its description in RNAcentral is "partial 16S ribosomal RNA". It matches the Rfam family "Bacterial small subunit ribosomal RNA", at positions 28 to 507 of the family's 1533-position model. The record is from RNAcentral.
GACGAACGCUGGCGGCGUGCUUAACACAUGCAAGUCGAACGGAAAGGCCCUGCUUUUGUGGGGUGCUCGAGUGGCGAACGGGUGAGUAACACGUGAGUAACCUGCCCUUGACUUUGGGAUAACUUCAGGAAACUGGGGCUAAUACCGGAUAGGAGCUCCUGCUGCAUGGUGGGGGUUGGAAAGUUUCGGCGGUUGGGGAUGGACUCGCGGCUUAUCAGCUUGUUGGUGGGGUAGUGGCUUACCAAGGCUUUGACGGGUAGCCGGCCUGAGAGGGUGACCGGCCAAUUGGGGAAUGAGAGAGGGCCCAGUCCCCAACGGGGGGCAGCGGGGGGAAAUUUUGCACAAGGGGCGGAAGCCGGAUGCAGAAACGCCGGGUGGGGGAAGACGGCCUUCGGGUUGAAAACCGCUUCCGCCUGGGACGAAGCGGGAGUGACGGUAAGGGAAAAAGAAGCACCGGCUAACUACGUG